UCUUUCCCUCCAGGAUCCCCUCCCGCACACGAGUGGGGACCGGCCGGGACCUCCAGCAUCUGCAGCCUCCUCCUCCUCCUCCUCCCGGGGGGCGGCUUUCCCCCGGGCCUGCAUCUCCCCGCCACCUGCCCGGAUGAACCCGUUGGAAAUCUGCCUCUGAGGGCUCCUGGCCAUUGAUGCUUCUCCCCUCGCCCCCUCCCCGCUUGGCACCAGCGAACGCCCGGAGGACGCCUCCUCCCGCAGCCGGCGCGGGGAUCGGCUGAAGCGGACUCCUGCGGUGCUCGGUCCGAUCCGAGGGGCUUGGCUUCGUAGACCCAGGUCAAGGGCCCCAUCCCAGGCUGCCCCAGGACCUGCCCUUCCCUCCUC
Ornithorhynchus anatinus (platypus) is the source of this 366-nucleotide long non-coding RNA. RefSeq lists it as uncharacterized. Lineage: Eukaryota; Metazoa; Chordata; Mammalia; Monotremata; Ornithorhynchidae. The record is from RefSeq and is a predicted model, not a curated record. The transcript has 4 exons.